CUGAUUGAUUCUCUUGUGAGAAUGGAGGAGGAAUCUGCAUUCCACAUGGUAGAGCCAUUUAAAAAAAGAAACCUCUGUGGGUUUUGCCGCACAUGCAGUGCUAGGGAAAGUGGAGCAUCUAGGAUGACUCCGAGGUUUUUGAGCAGAGCACCUGGAAGAAUGAAGCUGUCAUUACUGAGACAGCACAGACUGCAGGGGAGCGUGGUUUGCGAUGAGUGCCAGGAGAUGCUGAUUAUACAUCCCAGGGAAGCUGUUAGGGAAUUAAAUAUACCCAACUGGACUUCAGAGAAGUCUGAGCUGGAGAAAAAGGCCUGGACCUUGUCAGUGUUAGAGAUGGUUUUUCGACUGGCUGAGAUUUCCAGAGGAGGAAGGAGAGAGGACAGAAGAGAAGGGAGGGGAGGGGAAGGGAGGAAAAGAGGGAAGCUGGAAGGGAAGAGGAGAGGAUAAGUCUGGAGACUGAGGCUGAAGCCUGUGAGGCAUAGAGGUUAGGGAGGCAGGAAGGAACCAGGAAAGAAGACUGCAGAGGAGCUCGCAGUGAGGGGGUUGGAGAACCGUGAGAGUGGCGUCUGCAACGCUGACAAGAAAAGGUGCUUCAAGAAGGAAGGAGCGAUCGGCUUCGCCUAAUUCUGCUCGUGGGUCGAGUAAGGGGAGGCGUGAUUACGGAUCGUCAGAUCUGGCAACGUAGAGAACACUGGUGACUUGGACAAGGGUGUGUCUGGGGAGCGGUGAGAAGAAAGUUCCAGAAUGGGAGACAGGGACCUGGGGAGAACUCCAGAUUGCCUCUGCACGGACAGGAGCUGGGGGAGAUGAGGACAGAGGAGGCUCCUAGAAAUGGAGGUGUGAGCUCCACAGUAUGCUGAGGUGCUAUGGGCAAGUAUCCGAAGUGACGGUGGGUGCAUUGGAAGUCCAAUCAACGGUGCUAAACCUGGAACCGAUUCUCUGUUGCCUUUAGCAGGUUGUUCACGUUUUGUACAGAAGUGGACGUUUUGAACAUUCACGCUGCACAGGGCUUCCUGGUUGCUCUGCUCACCUCCAUUUCUUCUGCUGCUAGGAAGCCCCUCUCUCCCCAGUGCCAGUGUAUCUACGUCCUGCUCUUGCCUGGUGCCGUGUGGCUCUGAUGGUCUCUUCUGUGUCCCCUUAGCUCAGGUGCUAAGUAGUCUCUCAGUUUCCUUAAAAUAACUGUUUUGUGAUGUUAUCGGUCCCUUUAAACAAAAAAUCCCCUCAUCCCUCUUCUUCUCCCUCUCAGCCUUGCACACCCUUUUUAGAACCGAAGUCUUUUCUCUCUGCCUCUUACGGUCAGUGGCUGGCUUGUUACCCAAUAGCAAUAAGCUAACCUCAAAGAUCAGGAAGGUAGGCGGUGCUAAGGCCAGGGACUGGGAGUCUUAGUCAGUCAGCAACACAGUGUCAUCUCUCUGGAAAGGAAAUUUCCAGUAGCCAGCAAGAGACUUACAAAUGCUCAAAUCUAUAGUCUACUCAUCCCUUUCAUACGAUCAGAGAUAUGUGCAAAGACUUAUGUUCGUCACAGUGCCAUUCCUCACAGUGAAAAAGUGGGAGUAGCGCCCAUGUCUGUCAGUAGGGCUUGGAUGGAUAAAGUCUAUUAUUGAGUCCUAUGCCAUCGCUCAAGAUCACGUUUGAGUAUAACCGAUGAGAAAAUGACCAUACUAUAAUGCUAAUUGAAGAAAGAAGAUAUAAAGCUGUGUGUAUGUUCUGAUCUCAAAUCUUUUAAAAAUAAAAAUGUGCUUAUGUUAUAUGUUUAA
This is a long non-coding RNA of Callithrix jacchus (white-tufted-ear marmoset), 1757 nucleotides long. RefSeq lists it as uncharacterized. Lineage: Eukaryota; Metazoa; Chordata; Mammalia; Primates; Cebidae. The record is from RefSeq and is a predicted model, not a curated record.